Molecule: ribosomal RNA, 497 nt
Filed under: uncultured bacterium
Lineage: Bacteria
Description: partial 16S ribosomal RNA
Rfam family: Bacterial small subunit ribosomal RNA
Source: RNAcentral
GAUGAACGCUGGCGGCGUGCCUAAUACAUGCCAGUCGAGCGAACAGACGAGGAGCUUGCUCCUCUGACGUUAGCGGCGGACGGGUGAGUAACACGUGGAUAACCUACCUAUAAGGCUGGGAUAACUUCGGGAAACCGGAGCUAAUACCGGAUAAUAUAUUGAACCGCAUGGUUCAAUAGUGAAAGACGGUUUUGCUGUCACUUAUAGAUGGAUCCGCGCCGCAUUAGCUAGUUGGUAAGGUAACGGCUUACCAAGGCGACGAUGCGUAGCCGACCUGAGAGGGUGAUCGGCCACACUGGAACUGAGACACGGUCCAGACUCCUACGGGAGGCAGCAGUAGGGAAUCUUCCGCAAUGGGCGAAAGCCUGACGGAGCAACGCCGCGUGAGUGAUGAAGGUCUUCGGAUCGUAAAACUCUGUUAUUAGGGAAGAACAAAUGUGUAAGUAACUAUGCACGUCUUGACGGUACCUAAUCAGAAAGCCACGGCUAACUACGUG